This 202-nucleotide ribosomal RNA is filed under the name uncultured bacterium. RNAcentral's name for it is "partial 16S ribosomal RNA". It matches the Rfam family "Bacterial small subunit ribosomal RNA", at positions 568 to 773 of the family's 1533-position model. The record is from RNAcentral.
UGCGUAGGCGGUCGGGUAAGUCUGACGUGAAAUCUUCAAGCUCAACUUGGAAACUGCGUCGGAUACUAUUCGGCUAGAGGAAUGGAGGGGAGACUGGAAUACUUGGUGUAGCAGUGAAAUGCGUAGAUAUCAAGUGGAACACCAGUGGCGAAGGCGAGUCUCUGGACAUUUCCUGACGCUGAGGCAAGCCAGGGGAGCAACG